GACGAACGCUGGCGGCGUGCCUAAUACAUGCAAGUCGACCUUAGUGGCGAACGGGUGAGUAACACGUGGGUAACCUGCCCAUCAGAAGGGGAUAACACUUGGAAACAGGUGCUAAUACCGUAUACUGAUGGAUGGACCCGCGGUGCAUUAGCUAGUUGGUGAGGUAACGGCUCACCAAGGCCACGAUGCAUAGCCGACCUGAGAGGGUGAUCGGCCACAUUGGGACUGAGACACGGCCCAAACUCCUACGGGAGGCAGCAGUGGGGAAUAUUGCACAAUGGGCGCAAGCCUGAUGCAGCCAUGCCGCGUGUAUGAAGAAGGCCUUCGGGUUGUAAAGUACUUUCAGCGGGGAGGCGUUACCCGCAGAAGAAGCACCGGCUAACUCCGUGCCAGCAGCCGCGGUAAUUC
This 408-nucleotide ribosomal RNA is filed under the name uncultured bacterium. RNAcentral describes it as "partial 16S ribosomal RNA". It matches the Rfam family "Bacterial small subunit ribosomal RNA", at positions 28 to 526 of the family's 1533-position model. The record is from RNAcentral.